RNAcentral lists this ribosomal RNA (55 nucleotides) under Escherichia coli 2-210-07_S1_C3. The record is from RNAcentral. Lineage: Bacteria; Pseudomonadati; Pseudomonadota; Gammaproteobacteria; Enterobacterales; Enterobacteriaceae.
UGGCGGCAGUAGCGCGGUGGUCCCACCUGACCCCAUGCCGAACUCAGAAGUGAAA